UACGUAGGGUGCGAGCGUUAAUCGGAAUUACUGGGCGUAAAGCGUGCGCAGGCGGUUUUGUAAGUCAGAUGUGAAAUCCCCGGGCUUAACCUGGGAACUGCGUUUGAAACUACAAGGCUAGAGUGUAGCAGAGGGGGGUGGAAUUCCACGUGUAGCAGUGAAAUGCGUAGAGAUGUGGAGGAAUACCGAUGGCGAAGGCAGCCCCCUGGGAUAACACUGACGCUCAUGUACGAAAGCGUGGGUAGCAAACAGG
This 253-nucleotide ribosomal RNA is filed under the name uncultured bacterium. RNAcentral's name for it is "partial 16S ribosomal RNA". It matches the Rfam family "Bacterial small subunit ribosomal RNA", at positions 524 to 776 of the family's 1533-position model. The record is from RNAcentral.